GCAAUACCAAAAGUUAGAAUUUUGGUUGCCCCCGCAUUUUGCGCAUUUAAACUUUUUGGUAUCUGUAGUGUCCGAAGGGAGGAACCGGCACAAGCCUAUCUAAUGGCUGGAUCUGUAACCACUGGUUUCAUAUUUGUGGCUUGUCGGCUCCUCCACAAGCUUCCUUCUCAUUCAACCCACCAGCCAGUGAACACCAAAAAGCUAAAUCCGACCCUGUAAACAAUGUGCUGAUAGCCUUGCUGGCGGCUGCAUCCUUAGUUGUCAGUCAAAAUGUGCAGAGCCAUUAAAUGAUUUAUUAAAAAAUUUUGAUUAUUUUAUUAGCACUCGUUCCAGGCACACGCACUCACAAUCGUUGACAGCGGUUUAAGCGAAGAUCAAAACCCUACGAGUUCAGAGAGUUGACCUAACCGUUUCGCUGUGUGAAAGGGUAGCCAACCUUUAGGUCGAAGGGAUCAAAAUACCAAAUGUCAAACUUCGGGUUUUCAAAAAAAUACCUAUCAAAGAUAAAAGGGUCCGAACAGUGUCGAAGACUAAUUUAGAUAGUGAAGUGCGCGCCGUAUAAAAGUAAAAAUUUAAAGUCCAUAAAGUCAAAAAGGACGUUACAAACAGAUUGAAAGUGCUUAAUUCUAAAUUUCUAAAUGCUAAUAGUAAGGUUAGUGUUAUUUAGAGUAAAAUUGUUAAAAGUGUGUUAAAUUCUAAUUUUGUUAAC
This is a long non-coding RNA of Aedes aegypti (yellow fever mosquito), 709 nucleotides long. RefSeq lists it as uncharacterized. The transcript has 2 exons. NCBI's taxonomy places the organism in Eukaryota, Metazoa, Arthropoda, Insecta, Diptera, Culicidae. The record is from RefSeq and is a predicted model, not a curated record.